Molecule: long non-coding RNA, 1003 nt
Organism: Astatotilapia calliptera (eastern happy)
Lineage: Eukaryota; Metazoa; Chordata; Actinopteri; Cichliformes; Cichlidae
Source: Ensembl
CUGCGAACGCAUCAUUUUCGAUCAGAGGGCUUCAGGCACAGUCCACAUCGCCCGAGAAGGAGCAUACAUGCUCGAGUGACAGAGGAAAAGCCCAAUCUGGUCGAGGUUCCUGAAAGUGAACCCGAUUCAUCAUCGUCUCUAAGAAAACGCAAAGUGAAGAAGAGAGUCCUGCCAGAAUUUUACCAGUCUGUACAAGUCACCCCUACACGUAAACCUGUAGGUACCCCACUUCACUGUUACCAUUAAGAGUAAUGAUAAAACAAUACGCUGGAUUUGCUUGCUCCCCUCAACAGGAACAUCACAAUGUACAUUUGAUUCUGGGAAAGGAGUGCUAACUUGCUCUAGGGCAAAGGGGAGAUGCUUAUUUAAGGAACCUGACACUUGGGUGUGCUGUUGAAUGAUGGGUUUCUUCCCAAGAAAUGAAACGUUGCUGUGCUGGUACUGCAGGGUGUCUUGUUCAGUUUCUAAUCAUCAUAAUCAAGACCAAACAUUUAAAGAUUUUUUUUUUUUUUACUGCCAAUCCGCUACCUGUACAGGACAUAGUGAAGAAUUGAAAUACUGUCUCUCCCUAGUCUUACUAUAAAGAAGAAUUAAGAAAAGAUAAAGGACACUCUAAGGAACUACUGCCACUAUGUAGAAUAGUGUCAGUGGUGCAAGAUAUACAUUAAAUAAAAAAAAAUAAAGUAGCCUUUGAGCUGUACAUGGACAGUAGUGCAAAUAAUCAACAGCAGCAUUUACAUUUAAAAAUUUAAAAAAGAUAUUUACCAACAGAUCCUGUAAUCUUUGCUUUAAAUAUUUUUCCCCAGAAAUUAAAAAGUACAUGAACUCAACAGAAAUAAAGUAUUCUAUGGAUAUGCCCCAUGCCGCGGUGUUUUAAAGGAGCUGCAUCAUUAAAAAGGUUCAGUGGACUCAACAAUCCAAACAUAUUUCACUUAAUUAUAACAAUAAUUAUAGUAAUAAACUCUGGUUUUGCUGCAGCUUGAAGUUCACAAGUGAAUCACCC